UCAAACUUGGUCAUUUAGAGGAAGUAAAAGUCGUAACAAGGUUUCCGUAGGUGAACCUGCGGAAGGAUCAUUAUUGAAUAAAUUUGGUGGGUUGUCGCUGGCUCUUUGGAGCAUGUGCACACCUGCUAACUUUAUCCAUCCACCUGUGCACCUCCGUAGUCUUGGGAGAUUGGGAACUGGUUUAGACUCGAAAAGCCCUGUGGGCCUUUCGGAUGUAAGGGAUGCUUUGCGGAUGCAUAGCUUUCCUCGCAAGCCAGCUAUCACUCCAGAGACUAUGCCUUUUCAUAUACUAUAUUGUCUGUUAUAGAAUGUAUUUAGUGGGCUUCUGUGCCUAUAAAAAACAAUACAACUUUCAGCAACGGAUCUCUUGGCUCUCGCAUCGAUGAAGAACGCAGC
This 396-nucleotide unclassified non-coding RNA is filed under the name uncultured fungus. Its description in RNAcentral is "partial contains small subunit ribosomal RNA, internal transcribed spacer 1, and 5.8S ribosomal RNA". The stretch from base 1 to 73 matches the Rfam family "Eukaryotic small subunit ribosomal RNA", at positions 1759 to 1831 of the family's 1831-position model. Lineage: Eukaryota; Fungi. The record is from RNAcentral.